RNAcentral lists this ribosomal RNA (239 nucleotides) under uncultured bacterium. Its description in RNAcentral is "partial 16S ribosomal RNA". It matches the Rfam family "Bacterial small subunit ribosomal RNA", at positions 118 to 351 of the family's 1533-position model. The record is from RNAcentral.
UGAGGAACAUGACUUUCGGUGGGGGAGUAGCCGGCCCAACGGCCGGGUAAUACCGCGUACGACCUUUUGGGACAUCCCUGAUUGGUGAAAGCAGCAAUGCGCCGAAAGAGUGCCUCGCGGCCUAUCAGCUAGUUGGUGGGGUAAUGGCUCACCAAGGCAACGACGGGUAGCUGGUCUGAGAGGAUGGCCAGCCACAUUGGGACUGAGACACGGUCCAGACCUCCCGUACGGGGAGGNAG